This 740-nucleotide long non-coding RNA is filed under the name Homo sapiens (human). Its description in RNAcentral is "non-protein coding MIR3681HG:19". The record is from RNAcentral. Lineage: Eukaryota; Metazoa; Chordata; Mammalia; Primates; Hominidae.
ACUCAGUGCAGAGGGAAAUUGACACAGCCAUGAUGAGGCCUGGCUCACAAGAGCCAUAGUUACUGUAGGAGUUUCUGUGGCUAAAUAUGCUUAGCUAUUGAGGCAAGGACAUGUGCUGGAUGUGUAUGCAGUCUUUGAAGCUGGAGAGGCCUGUGUUGGAAACUGUGCUCUGUCCCAUGCCAGUUCCCUGACCUUGGAACCCCUAGAGCAAUCAACAGACAGACAGAGCCCUGCUUCAUGGAGCGUCUGCUCUCUCCUGGAGCUCACACGCUGAAACAGACAGGAUGCAACACCUCAGGGUUGUUGGAGAACCAGAGGCUGUUGCAAUUAGGAUGGCGAAUGGUGAAAAACAGUGUGGUUGAAUUGAACAUAAGCUGAAGGGCUAGACAUCAUGGCUUCAAUCCUUGUGGAGAAUGACUUGUGAAUUGCCACCUCCUGCAAAUCCUGUGGCCUAUGAUCUGGACCAAAUCACAUCCAAGUGUCUGAUCAGUUCUGAGAGUGGUUGUGGAUGACCUUAGUAUUCCAGAAGACUGGCUCUGAACGCACACUAGUGCAUCCACAAUGGGACAUCCAUGUGUAAAAAGGAGUGAGGAGCUGGGAUUCUUCAGUGGCCUCCAGCUUUCAUUCCAUACAGGAAUGGGCUCGUUCAUAUGCCUCUGAGAGAGUCAGCUUGGAGACAGGCAAGUCUGGGUUCAAAUCCUGGGUCCAUCCCUAGAUGGUUGAGUGUGGUUCCUUUAUCC